This is a small nuclear RNA of Otolemur garnettii (small-eared galago), 61 nucleotides long. Its record names the gene U7. It matches the Rfam family "U7 small nuclear RNA". From Rfam's summary of the family: Animal histone pre-mRNAs are spliced by a different mechanism than nuclear pre-mRNAs and self-splicing introns. This processing involves the U7 snRNP, which contains only one RNA species: U7. The record is from Ensembl. NCBI's taxonomy places the organism in Eukaryota, Metazoa, Chordata, Mammalia, Primates, Galagidae.
UAGUGUUACAGUUCUUUUAGAAUUUGUCUAAUAAUUUCUGUAGUCUCAACUAGAAGACCUC